RNAcentral lists this long non-coding RNA (237 nucleotides) under Sorghum bicolor (sorghum). Its description in RNAcentral is "long non-coding RNA (SBIC_LNC015604)". Lineage: Eukaryota; Viridiplantae; Streptophyta; Magnoliopsida; Poales; Poaceae. The record is from RNAcentral.
CCCCAAAUGUAAGUGUACCUCUAUCCAAAUACUUAGAGCACAAGUGUAACCUCUUAGUGAUAAAAGAUGUCUAUGCUAUGCCAUUCUUCCACUAUUUCCGGCCUAUUGACGGUGUUUUUAUGUGUGGAUUUUAUAGCUUAUCCACUGUAUACGAGAUCCCCCAAGCUUAACCUUUGCUCGUCCCAAGGAAAUAAUUAAACUUAGUCUCGGUGGAUCAGGAGUUGCUGCAAUGUCAAC